This 73-nucleotide transfer RNA is filed under the name Microbacterium sp. Bi128. RNAcentral describes it as "tRNA-Val". Lineage: Bacteria; Bacillati; Actinomycetota; Actinomycetes; Micrococcales; Microbacteriaceae. The record is from RNAcentral.
UCGUGGGCGGGCAGCUGUGCGCGGCGUCGCCGAUGACGACGGCGCGGCCGCGGUUCCACGGCGCGUCCACGAG